Molecule: ribosomal RNA, 739 nt
Filed under: bacterium 29-L049642-122-014-E04
Lineage: Bacteria
Description: bacterial SSU rRNA
Rfam family: Bacterial small subunit ribosomal RNA
Source: RNAcentral
GCAAGUCGAACGAUGAAGCCCUUCGGGGUGGAUUAGUGGCGAACGGGUGAGUAACACGUGGGCAAUCUGCCCUUCACUCUGGGACAAGCCCUGGAAACGGGGUCUAAUACCGGAUAACACUCUGUCCCGCAUGGGACGGGGUUAAAAGCUCCGGCGGUGAAGGAUGAGCCCGCGGCCUAUCAGCUUGUUGGUGGGGUAAUGGCCUACCAAGGCGACGACGGGUAGCCGGCCUGAGAGGGCGACCGGCCACACUGGGACUGAGACACGGCCCAGACUCCUACGGGAGGCAGCAGUGGGGAAUAUUGCACAAUGGGCGAAAGCCUGAUGCAGCGACGCCGCGUGAGGGAUGACGGCCUUCGGGUUGUAAACCUCUUUCAGCAGGGAAGAAGCGAAAGUGACGGUACCUGCAGAAGAAGCGCCGGCUAACUACGUGCCAGCAGCCGCGGUAAUACGUAGGGCGCAAGCGUUGUCCGGAAUUAUUGGGCGUAAAGAGCUCGUAGGCGGCUUGUCACGUCGGAUGUGAAAGCCCGGGGCUUAACCCCGGGUCUGCAUUCGAUACGGGCUAGCUAGAGUGUGGUAGGGGAGAUCGGAAUUCCUGGUGUAGCGGUGAAAUGCGCAGAUAUCANGAGGAACACCGGUGGCGAAGGCGGAUCUCUGGGCCAUUACUGACGCUGAGGAGCGAAAGCGUGGGGAGCGAACAGGAUUAGAUACCCUGGUAGUCCACGCCGUAAACGUUGGG